GUCUAUGGCCAUACCACCCUGAACGUGCCCGAUCUCGUCUAUUCUCGGAAGCUAAGCAGGGUCGGGCCUGGUUAGUACUUGGAUGGGAGACAAUUGGCUUUUUAAGAAU
This 109-nucleotide ribosomal RNA is filed under the name Mustela putorius furo (domestic ferret). The record is from RNAcentral. Lineage: Eukaryota; Metazoa; Chordata; Mammalia; Carnivora; Mustelidae.